Piliocolobus tephrosceles (Ugandan red Colobus) is the source of this 352-nucleotide long non-coding RNA. RefSeq lists it as uncharacterized. The record is from RefSeq and is a predicted model, not a curated record. NCBI's taxonomy places the organism in Eukaryota, Metazoa, Chordata, Mammalia, Primates, Cercopithecidae. The transcript has 3 exons.
AGGACACGCUCAACAAGCCAGGAAGUACCACUGCAUCGGGGGUGGCUCGCCUGAAGAAGACCGCCACUGCCGGAGCCAUCUCGGAGCUCGCGGAGAGCCGCCUGAGGAGCGGCACAGGUAUUUCUUGACCACUUACCCUGUGCCGGACCUGUUUUAGGCAGAUGACGUCACUGCCCACAGGGAGUUUACAUCUAGAGUGGGGAGACCGAUGAGAAACAAAAGAGGUGGAUGUCUAAUAUUUGUACUGAACCCUAUGGAAAGCUGGCAAGAGCCUCGCCCAGCAGCUGUGGAAGGCUGCUCAGAGUGACUUGGAUGGCAGUGGCAGCUGGAAGCUGUGAACCUUCUCAGUGUU